CCUACGGGAGGCAGCAGUGAGGAAUAUUGGUCAAUGGACGAGAGUCUGAACCAGCCAAGUAGCGUGAAGGAUGACUGCCCUAUGGGUUGUAAACUUCUUUUAUAUGGGAAUAAAAUGUUCCACGUGUGGGAUUUUGUAUGUACCAUAUGAAUAAGGAUCGGCUAACUCCGUGCCAGCAGCCGCGGUAAUACGGAGGAUCCGAGCGUUAUCCGGAUUUAUUGGGUUUAAAGGGAGCGUAGGUGGAUUGUUAAGUCAGUUGUGAAAGUUUGCGGCUCAACCGUAAAAUUGCAGUUGAAACUGGCAGUCUUGAGGACAGUAGAGGUGGGCGGAAUGCGUGGUGUAGCGGUGAAAUGCUUAGAGAUCACGAAGAACUCCGAUUGCGAAGGCAGUUCACUGGACUGCAACUGACACUGAGGCUCGAAAGUGUGGGUAUCAAACAGGAUUAGAUACCCGUGUAGUC
This 460-nucleotide ribosomal RNA is filed under the name uncultured bacterium. Its description in RNAcentral is "partial 16S ribosomal RNA". It matches the Rfam family "Bacterial small subunit ribosomal RNA", at positions 338 to 795 of the family's 1533-position model. The record is from RNAcentral.